RNAcentral lists this long non-coding RNA (18078 nucleotides) under Zea mays. RNAcentral's name for it is "long non-coding RNA (ZMAY_LNC001715)". Lineage: Eukaryota; Viridiplantae; Streptophyta; Magnoliopsida; Poales; Poaceae. The record is from RNAcentral.
CGCAACCAGGUACCAGACCGGAACCACUAUCACGUGGGACCCCAGCUUCAGACUCGCUCGACUCUCCAGCUUGUUGCAAUGUCGCCGGAGUCCGCUCGGCCGAGUCCCUGUUGAUCCCACGAAUCAAAACGCUACCGCCGUUACAAACCCCGGCUGUGGCGAGUGGUUCGAGUCCCUGUCGUUGGAGCGCGCUUCCCCGUGGCCACGAAAUCCAGCAUCUGUAAUUGCGGUGAGAUCUUUCUCCUUUGUCUUACCAUGUUCCUAGGAUUAGACAGCAUGUUGUGGCUUGUGGUUUGGGACCCCAGAUCGCCGGGCAUGGCUGUGGCGGCAGGAUUGCCCACGCGGUCCGCACACACCAUCGCUGCGAGCUGUCGGGAGGAAGAAAGACGUGCCUUGCCGUUGGAUCGUAGGGAGAGGUGGAGAUUAGACGUUGGGCAUACCUGUUUGGGGAAUAGAUCUGAGCCAUAGGAUGAGAUCGAACGGAUUAGGAUAGAUCUUGAUUCAAUAAAAUCUGACUGUCUAACUUUGAUCCGUUGUACAACACUUCGUAUCGCUUUGUUAUAAGAUUCGAGCUAUCCAAUGGCUCAGGCGGGCAGAUACCCCUUCAGCCGUAGCUUUGCAAAAGAUACCCCUAGUUUCUAUUAUUGAAACCGUAGUCCUGUCAAUUUAUAGAACCAUUAACACGGAGCCCUAGUAUUUAUAUUUUAGACAUGGAUUUUAUUAAAUAGUGGUCAUUGUCCAACCCUUUUUGUUAACUGUAAUCAAAUCAGAAAAUCAAUUAUUAUGUACAAAAAUAAACGUAGGAAUUUAGAAAAACCAUAACUUCCUCAUACUAAUUUCAAAUUGACCCGUUCGAGUUGCGUUGUACUCAUAUUAAUGUCAGUCAUCAUUUAGUAAACUUAUUUUAUUAUGUCACAUGUUGUUAACAUCAAGAACUUCAUUUGUUUUAGCUUAUGUUUUACACGUAAACAUUCAGAAAAUUAUAUCUCUUUAACCAUAACUCUGAAUUUAGUGAUUCUCGAACCUACGAUCUCGUAGUAGAGCGUAAAAUAUUCUUACGUAGUUUGUUCUCAUCUUUCAUGUAAUGAUAUUUUAUGUACUCCUUGUCUAUUUGUAUGUAUUGCUACGAGUAGCAGCGAGGUCACGAGAAACCAGAAGACCAACUUGGUGAUAUUCUUACGUAGUUUGUUCUCAUCUUUCGUGUAAUGAUAUUUUGUGGCUUGUGGUUUGGGACCCCAGAUCGCUGGGCAUGGCUGUGGCGACAGGAUUGCCGCCGCGGUGCGCACACACCAUCGCUGCGGCUAUCGGGGAGGAAGAAUGACCUGCCUUGCCGUUGGAUCGUAGGGAGAGGUGGAGAUUAGACGUUGGGCAUACCUGUUUGGGGAAUAGAUCUGAGCCAUAGGAUGGAAUCGAAUAGAUUAGGUUAGAUCUUGAUUCAUUAAAAUAUGACCGUCGAACUUUGAUCCGAUGGACAGCACUUGGUAUUGCUUCGUUAUAAGAUUCGAGCUAAUCUUGGCCGUCUGCCAUGAAUCCAAUGGCUCAGGCGGACAGAUAUCCCUUCAGCCGUGUAGCUUUGCAAAAGAGACCCUCUAGUUUCUAUUAUUGAACUCGCAGUCCUGUCGAUUUAUAGAACCAUUAACAUGGAGCCCUGGUAUUUAUAUUUUAGACCCUGGAUUUUAUUAAAAUAGUGGUCGUCGUCCAACCCUUUUUGGUUAACUGUAAUGAAAUCAGAAAAUCAAUUAUUAUGUAAAAAACGUAGGAAUUCAGGAAAAUCAUAACUUCCUCAUACUAAUUCCAAAUUGACCCAUUCGAGUUGCGUUUGUAACACCCCAGGUGUUACCAAGGCCAUGGUUUCAAUUAUGCACUGAUGACUUGUGAUCACAUGUGGUUAAGUGGAGGAGAAGAAGAACCUAAAACCUUGGAAGCAUGGGUUAGUUAAGAGGGGUUAAUGGCAAAGGCUUCACCCACACAAUUGGAACAAGGGUCAUGUGGAGCCAAGGUGAUUAAACCCUAAAGACACCUAAGGGCACUAGACUUCCAAGCAAGGGAUCAGUGGAUAAGUUAAUCAAAUUGACAAAGCAUGAUCCUAUUCCAUAAAGAAGUUUUAGUAACAAUGUAACCUACCAAAUGCAGGGAGGGAACAUUGCAAAAAGACCCCUUGAUGACCCCAAUUUCACCCCUUAAGUGGAGAGCACACUAGAGCUCUCUAAUUCUCUCUAAGUCAAAAUCUAACCCUAAUCUAAAGAUCCACCAUGUUCACUUAGUAAUUGGCACCAAAACCACUUGGGUUAAAUACCAAAAAGGUGCCAAACCACCUAAGACACCCACUGGAAAAGUUUGAAACCGAGCCCAAGUCGUUUGACAAGAUUUUGCAUGGUUUUUGUCGCGAGGUGGACAGAGGGACAAACCAAAUUUGGCGUCCGCAAAUCUCCCUACCUAUGGCAUAUCUGCCAUUGGAACUCACAUACAAGAGACAUCCCUAGGUGCUAGGAGGAGGCCUGCGCCGGAUUUUUGCCAAUAUUCGCACUUUUGCGAUCUCGGCGAGCUGUUGAGCAAGGGCAGAAGAACACUUCCACGUGUUCAACGCGCUCUGAACGCGCCAGAGCACGCCCAGCGCCCGACCCCGCGCGCCCCGCGCCACGCCUGUGUCUCCUGCCCGCGCCCGCGCCUAUAAAGCCCACCGAAGCUUCAACCGUACUCCCCCACGCGCUCUCGACCUCACCGGAGCCAGAGAUCACCGGCGUUUGCCCUGCUGACGGCGUGCCAGCGGCCGCCCGAUCCCCCGCCACCGUAGACUGGCCAGCAGAGCCAUCUCCAACCCCGUCCAACCCUCGAAAUAGACUCUACGUGCCUCGGUGAAGCUCCCAGAGCGAGGAAUCGAGCUCUGCCUCACCAGAGACGCCGGAUCAAGGUUGCCGGACUUCACCCGACCGCCGGUGAACGUAGACAGAGCUCCACGGUGAGUUGUUCUUCGAUUCCUUGCAUGGGUUGACCCUUUAGCACACCGUGAAGCUUCUCGUGCCCUUGGAUUGACCUGUAUCACCGCGGAUAGGCCGGAGCACACGCCGUCGACGAGCUCGCCCACCUACGCACGUGGACCGGCCGAUUCUGACCAUCACUUUCGUCGAGCCGCACCUCGUUGUGACCGCAAGGACCUCCCGAAGCCAACCCCACCCUUCGUCGGACUUUCCUCGCCGCCGGUAAGCCGCGCCGCCCUUUUUCCUUUCGCGGGAACUGUUCAAAAGGGGGGGACCUCGGGGAAGAAGAAAUAGAAGCCAGGGGUUUUUGAACUGUCAGAGACUCAGGGGAAUAGUUGCGCAGGGGUAUAAAUUAAAGGAAUGGUUUAGGAAGAACCCAGGGACCUCGGUGCAAACUGGUUUUCCAGGAAACCUUUUUAAUAUUUCUAAUUUAAAUACAAACAGAGCUUGUAAAAUUCAUAACUUCAGUUUUAUUCAACCAAAUUUGGUCAAACCAAUUUUGCCUGAUUCUAAAUAAUGUGAACUACUUAGGAAAAAUACAAAACCCUCUUAGUAUUGCAAAAGAAUUUUAAGUUUGGAUUUAAAUAUUGUUUUGGCCAAAAGUUAAAUAAUAGAAGGAAAAAUAGUUACACUAUUAGACUGAGGUUAAGAAAAAUCAGAGAAGUACUUAAUCACUCCUUGAUCUGUUCAAAAAUAGUAAACCCCUCAGUACACCAAAUUAAGGUAGGGUUUGCCAUUUAAAUCAUUUUUAGCUUAAAGAUAAAGAAAAUAGAAAAGGUAAUUUAAAAUAAAAACCAUGGAGCAACCACAUUUUUGUUAACUCACUUAUUUAAUGUAGUUCACUGGAAAAAUUUAUUAGACCUUUGUUUAGUACAAAGGAAAUGAGAUACCUUUUAUUUAAUGAAAACUUAGGAAAAUCUUAGAGAAAUAAUCCUGAGGAGAAAACACCCGAAACCUUGGGAUAACUAAUACUUUGUUAUUAUAAACAUAGGAAAAAUAUGAAAUCUGUUGUUUAGUAUUUUUCAAAUAACAAGUUAGUUAUAAGUACCUUUUUGGCAUGAAACUUUAGAAACUCACAACUAAAUAUCCAGUAGGCCUUUUUCUGUGAUUUUUAACACAGAGGCCUAAUAUCACCUAUGAAUCUGGACAAAAAUAAAAUUUGGUACAGAAACUUCACUUACAUCAUAGCUAUAGUGUCAAAUGUCGUUUUACACUUGUUUUUGUUAAUUUUGCACAAGUAGUAUCUGAAUCAGUAUCCACCUCAAUUUUUUAGGAGAACCCACAAAUGUUAAUGGUAACCCACUGUAAUUUUUACAGAAAUUUUGGAAAUUUUAAAAUCACUGUUUUAGUUCAAACCCAACUUAAGAGCAUGAAAAGAGAAUAAAAGAAAGAAUUAAGUAGUGGAGAUAAAUGUUACCCUGACCAAGACAGCAAAACUCUUAAGUACCUACUAAGACCUUUAAGGGCAAUCCAAACCUUAAUCCACUACAGUUGCCUCUAAGCAAAACCUCAAACCUAAAUUGAUAAACAUAAAUCACCAGAGCUUCUUAUAACCAGGAAAACCCUAAGUUAUCAAAUAACUUAGUUCUUCUUCACUACGCAAAAUGGUUACUAAAUCAUGCAUAUCAUAGCAUACAUAUUUCUUACUCUUUGCAUUCGAUAGAUUGCAACCUCGCUGACGGAGAGUACAUCCUCGUGCCGGAGCAAGGAUUUGCUCAGGAGGUAGCCCCGGAUCCAGCACUAGAGCCUGCCGUCGAGGAUCUGCCUGUCCUAGCUUUGGAAGGCAAGCCCCGGUUUUAUGCAUAACCGUUAUAUAUGCUAUUUUACUACACUUAAUGUUUGUAGGCUUGUAUUGUGCACUUAAGUGUAGGAGUUGACUGAAACCCUAGUUGCAUGAACUCAGGAUUCCUUUUGAGAUGGAUACUAGUAUGCUAGGUCGAGUAGCUGCUUUACUAAUCAGGGAUCUCGGUAGAAGUCGAGUGAUUUUUCUAGCACUCGCGCGAGGUCAGGAAUUGGUUGUAUCCAUUUUUAUAUCAUAUUGAUGAUGGUCUGUGGAUAACGAUCCAUGGGGAUGCGUUGUCUACGAGACGGAAAUUGGAAUAAGGAUUAAGGUGUGGUACCGUGUGUCAAGCGUUUGAACGUACUAAACAAAUGCCGAGAAAUAUGGUAAAUCGGUAAGCCUAGUACCUGAGUGAAACUGCCCGCAGAUUGCCCUCCUCACGCGACCAGAGACGUGGUUUCCCAUUCCGGUUAUGGUGGGUACAAGUGCGGUCACUGCACGACGGCAGUCGGGGUCAGUGAGGCAUUGUACGCCAAGGCGGUGAGCCCCUUUCUGUUGCCAAGGAAUCGAUAGGGAUGGUUGAUGUGUGUAGGGAUGGAGUGCCUCGCCACGUCGUGUGUUUAGGUUUACCUUGCAAGGUUGAAACUCGAUUCGAAUCGUCUGCUUCUCGCAGCUAAUGAGACUCCUUGAUCCAUGCUGCUACAUUGAGUAACAAGUGGAAAUGUGAUGACUUGGCAAAAGUUGUUGAUUGCUAAAUGUUUGAUACCAUGUAUGAUUAGAUAGGUAUACAUUUAGUCUUAAGAGAUUCACACUAAAACUUGAAAAAGCUAAAACUUGAUUUUUAGACUCAGCUAGUGCUUUUGACAAACCAAACCCUUCAGCCAAACAGCUGCAUGUCUAGAGGUAGAGGAGUAGACUCCUCACACCGGGUAAGUCUAGCUGAGUAUUAGUAUACUCAGCCUUGCUUGUGGCAUAAUUUUUUACAGGUUCUCUGGAGGACAUGGUUGCUGGAGUGACUUGGCCGUCCAUCUUGCCACCGGGAUGGACAGUCGAGUGGGACCCUACCUCGGCUGAGGAGGAGCAUGAGGAGUGAUGGGACAGGCUUCCCCAUCCCUCCAUUUAUUUACCGUUAGUUUUAUUCCACUGCAUUCCGAACAAUGAUCUCCACUUUUGCUAAAACUCCAAUGUUGAUGUAAUAAUUUGAUACUCCUUAAUGUAUGGUUUUAUGCUUUAUUGUAUUUGCUUUAUGCCUCACCUUCGAGUGAGUACGUGGUACUUGAUCUUGUUAGUGGCCUCAUCGGACUAGAUCCGAGGGACUGAUGUGUUAUUCCUAUUUAAGUGCGGUCUAGCCUCUAAGGCGGGACUUAGGCACUUAAGUUGGAAUAAUUCGGGCGGUUCCGCCACAGAUGGUAUCGGAGCUCGUACCACCACAGAGGAAUCAAUAAACUAUAAAUACCAUCCUUUCAAAAGUAAAACUUGAUAGAAACAAAUGCUGGAUAGAUCGUCAGGACGAUAAGGAUAGACCUAGGACGUGAAGCCUUAGGAUGAUAGAAGGGUAGCUAGGUGGCUAUUUGAGUAAGCCCUAUAGGCUACUAUAAGGGAUGGGAGUUCUUCCCUAUUCCCUCUAAGUUGAAGUGAGGUCGUUUAGGACGAACAUGCAUGCAUCCGUACUUAAACUAUUAAUAAUUGGGUAAGAACUUUAAUACACGAUAAUGACAAUAUUAAGUACACCCAGUGCCAUUGUCGUAGUCAUAGAGAGGCUGAGUUUUGAUCCCUUUUUAUUUUAUAAUUCUUUUUCUUUUUACUCACGCUUAACAGUACACAUAUGACUUCUCACGGAUCCUCGGAAGAAGGGAACGCACAGUCCCACACGGACGGGGUUGCACGAGAGGGUUUUCCCCGUAUCUUAUGGGAGGUGAUUCAGGGAGCCGGUUACGCGACGCCUCCCCAGUACGCGGUUUGAGAAGCACCGAGUGCCCCGCUGUAGGGUGAGGAUGACCCUGGAGCAUCAUCCCCUACAGCCAGGCUAGCAUUCGUUGGACUCUGAGUCUUUCGAAUACCGUGCUGAGGACACUAUCGAGGCGAUUGCUCUUUACGGGCUGACUACCUUCUGUGGUUUUCACCCAUUAGAGCUGUCUACUCAUCCCAAUGGCUUGUUCCCUGCUGAAAAGGAGGACAACCCAAUGUGGAAGGACAGAGUGGAGCAUGCCAAGGAUAUCUGGGCUCUUUACCCAUGGCAGACUGCGUGCUUGACGGUUCGAUGCAUGGAUGCUCUGUAUCGUCAGCAGGUGAGGCGAGGAGAGGCAAUGUCUCAUCUGAUGGCAUUAUUGGAGGCUACCAAGAUCACCUUGGACAACAGAGAGUAACUUGUGGUAGACCUGUCCACUGAGAUGGUGGAAAAGGAUCUACAGGUGGAACAGAUGUCCAACGAGAUUCAGGAGCUUGAGGAGCUAGUGGGAACCAGGGAGAAUACCAUUGAGGUUCUCGAGGAUCAGCUCAUCAACACUCAGUAGCAACUCGCGGAAGCUAACCAACAUUUGGAUAUGCACCACCAGGAGAUCCAGGACAUGGAGGCCAACGAGGAUGUCGACAUCGAGGGAGGAGAGGAGCCGGAGCCUGCCUCCAGUUGGACACUGCUGGCUUAGGGAGACCCCUUCCCCCGAGUCGAGCGUUGCCUCGUUUGCUCACUAGGUCGCCUAGAUAGGGUUAGCAGUGUGUGGCGGUAAAACUCCUCGAGGCUAGCUUAGCUUUUGCACCCUUGGGGUACUAGGCUAGACAGGGUUGAGUCUUUUGGGUCACUGAUGUAUCUUAGCAAACUCUUUUGGAAGUAUGGAUGAUGAAUGAUGUCAGUUUUAAUUGAUGAAGGAAGAUUUUUAUGCCAUGUGGAAUCUUUUUAUGAAUUACGCAAGAAGAUACUGGUUUUACCCUUUUGAAUCUUUCUCCACGUAUGAACCUUGACAUCAGAAAUGUGAUAUUGAGAGCAUUCUUGAUUUUUCAGAUGGCAGGAAGAGCGCGUCGUGGACAGAAUGAACGUAUUCCUCCGCCACCGCCUCCUACUCUGCAAGAGCUGAUGGCUCAGCAGAAUGAGAUCUUGCGACAGUUGGCUCAGCGUCAGCUGCCACCUCAGCAUUAUGGUGGUGGUGAUCAUCAGCGUCACCUAUCAGCAGCCACUUAUCAGGAGUUUCUCGGCACGCAGCCACCUUUGUUCACUCGGGCAGAGGAUCCACUUGAUGCGGAUGUAUGGCUUAGGGUAGUGGAAUCCAAAUUCCCACUACUCAAUGGAGUUUGUUCAGAGGUGACUAAGGUCAGGUUUGCCACCCAGCAGCAUCGCGGACCCGCACGGACAUGGUGGGACCACUUUCUUGCUAUGCAGCCAGUUGACCAUGAGGUGGAAUGGAGAGAGUUCAAGGCAGCUUUCAGGGGGCAUCAUAUACUAGCAGACAUUAUGGAUCGCAAGCUCAAUGAGUUUCUGGCACUCACUCAGGGGAACCGGAUAGUGUUACAGUACGCUCAGGCCUUCAAUGACCUGUGCCAGUAUGCCGGAUAUCAUGUAGACACUGAUGAGAAGAAGAGGGACAGGUUCAGGAGGGGGCUCAGCACUAAGCUCCGCGACCGUCUCAACACCGUCAGGGCCAACAGUUACAAUGAGUUACUUAACAUGGCCAUAUCUCAGGAGGACUGCAUCACAGCUCGUCAGGUAGAAAAGAAGAGGAAGACCCCUGUGGUAGGACCUUCAGCUCAGCCACAGCGCUUCAGGAUUGUAUCUGACCUCCAGAACAGGGGACCUCAGCAGCAGCAAGGACGUUGGGUGAUCCGACCACAGCAGCAGCAGCAGGCACCCAACCGCUCUCAGCCCCCAGUUCAGAGGAACAAUCAGCCACAACAACAGCAGUACCGUCAGGCAAAUGACAACAGGUGUUUCACUUGCGGUAACACUGGGCAUUAUGCUAAGAAUUGCCCCAGAAAUCAGCAGAGGCAUGGACAGAAUUCCAAUCAAAACCAAGGAAAGAGGCAGAAGGUGCAAGUGAGGCAAGGCAGGCUGAACUUCACCACCAUGGCUGAUAUUCCAGAGGGAGCACCCGUCAUGACUGGUAUCUUCUUCGUUUUGAAUAAUCCUGCAAUUAUUCUUUUUGAUUCUGGUGCAUCACACAGUUUUAUCAGUGCCAAAUUUAGUGCCAAGUGCCAGUUACCUUUUCACCACACCAAUGGGGGUAUUACCAUUUCAACACCAGGAGGCAGGGUUGCCACCUAUCAAAUCAAUAGGCAGGUGCCUAUAAAAUUUGGUAGUCUUGUGAUUAGAACCACCCUUCUCAUCUUAGGGUUGGAUAGUGUGGAGAUUAUAUUGGGAACUGAUUGGUUAUCCAGGCAUUAGGCAGUACUUGAUAUUGCAGCAAUGACCAUUGAGAUUGACUCCCCUACUUGUGGCGAGACUACUUUAUAUUUGCCCGAUCAGGGUUGUACCCGCUCUUGUGCAUUCACCAUGAUAGAUUCACCGGUUGAAAGAAUCCCUGUAGUAUGUGACUACCCAGAUGUUUUUCCUGACGAAUUGCCAGGAAUGCCACCCGACAGAGACAUAGAGUUCGCGAUUGAAUUACAACCCGGGACUGCUCCUAUAUCCAAGAGACCCUAUAGGAUGCCUCCAGCGGAACUGGUGGAAUUGAAAAAGCAACUACAAGAUUUGUUGGACAAGGGGUUCAUUCGCCCGAGUACUUCACCAUGGGGAUGUCCAAUCUUGUUUGUAAAGAAGAAGGAUGAAAGUCUGAGAUUGUGUGUCGAUUACCGCCCUUUCAAUGCGGUGACCAUCAAGAACAAAUACCCAUUGCCUCGCAUUGAUGUAUUGUUUGAUCAGUUGGUGGGAGCCAAAGUAUUCUCCAAGAUAGACCUACACUUGGGCUACCAUCAGAUCAAGAUCAGGGCCAGCGAUAUUCCAAAGACGACUUUCUCUACCAGAUAUGGGCUUUAUGAGUAUUUGGUGAUGUCUUUUGGGCUGACCAAUGCCCCAGCUUACUUCAUGUAUUUUAUGAAUUCAGUCUUUAUGCUAGAGCUGGACAAGUUUGUGGUGGUCUUCAUUGAUGACAUUCUGGUGUAUUCCAAGAAUGAAUCCGAGCACACUAAGCAUUUGCAUACCGUACUUCAGAGACUGUGUGACCAUCAGUUGUAUGCUAAAUUGUCCAAAUGUGAAUUCUGGCUGAAGGAGAUAAAAUUUCUGGGUCACACCAUUUCUCAGGAUGGGGUAUCAGUUGAUCCUGAAAAAGUACAAGAAGUGAUGAAUUGGAAACCUCCUACAACAGUACGACAGAUCCGUAGUUUUCUGGGAUUGGCAGGGUAUUAUCGACAAUUUAUUCCGGAUUUCUCCAGAAUUGCCAAGCCAAUGACUGAAUUGUUGAAGAAAGGAGUCAAGUAUGAAUGGAGCCAGAAGUGUGAGGAUGCCUUUCACACACUCCGGCAGCAUUUGACAACAGCACCCGUGCUAGCUCAGCCUGACAACACCAACCCCUUUGAGGUUUAUUGCGAUGCUUCCGGUACUGGAUUGGGAUGUGUCUUGAUGCAAGACAACAGGGUCAUUGCUUAUGCCUCCCGAGCACUCAGACCCCAUGAGCAGAACUACCGCACACAUGACCUGGAGUUAGCGGUCGUGGUUCAUGCUCUCAAGAUUUGGAGACAUUACUUAAUGGGAGCUCACUGUAAUAUUUACACUGAUCAUAAGAGUCUCAAAUAUAUCUUCACCCAGGCUGAUCUUAAUAUGAGGCAGAGAAGAUGGUUAGAGCUAAUCAAGGACUAUGAUUUGGAGGUGCAUUACCAUCCUCGCAAAGCCAAUGUUGUGGUAGAUGCCUUAAGCAGGAAAGCCCAGUGCAAUUGUAUGAAUAUGGAUGCAAGGAUCACCACCCUAUGUGAUGAGUUGUGCAAGCUGAGCAUAGAAGUCGUUUCCUCCGGUGCUUUAAGUUAUAUUUCAGUGGAGCCCACCUUACAUGAGCAAAUAGUCAGGGCACAGAUUGGUGACAAGGGUGUCUAAGUCAUUAAGGAAAUGAUCAAACAGAAGGAGGAUAAAUACAAAUGCUUCCGACAGGACAACAAAGGGAUUCUAUGGUUUGGAGACCGAUUGGUGGUUCCCAAGAACCCCGAGCUCAGAAAGAAAAUAUUGGAUGAAGCUCACCUUUCCAAAUUCUCCAUGCACCCGGGCAGUAACAAGAUGUAUCAUGACCUCAUAUCCUUGUACUAGUGGACCAGAAUGAAGAGGGAAAUUGCGAAGUAUAUAUCUGAAUGCGACACCUGCCAGAGAGUCAAGGCCAGUCAUUUGAAGGUAGCAGGCACUUUAUAGCCCCUUCCCAUACCAUCCUGGAAAUGGGAGGACAUUUGCAUGGAUUUCAUUGUGGGAAUACCUCCCGACACCACGAUUCUAUUUGGGUCAUUGUGGAUAGGUUGACCAAGACAGCUCAUUUCUUGCCGGUACAUACCACCCACAGGGCAGAGAAAUAUGCAGAAAUCUACAUUGACCAGAUAGUUCGCUUGCAUGGAAUACCAAGGACUAUCGUAUCUGACAGAGGAGCACCGUUCGUGGCACGUUUCUGGGAGCAAUUGCAAGAAUCACUUGGGACUCAUGUAAUAAGAAGCUCAGUAUACCAUCCUCAAACUGAUGGUCAGACAGAAAGGGUGAAUCAGAUUUUGGAAGACAUGUUGAGGGCAUGUGUGCUACACUAUGGAAAGGAUUGGGACAAGUGUCUUUCAUUGGCAGAGUUCUCUUAUAAUAACAGCUACCAGUCCAGUUUGAAGAUGGCACCUUUUUGAAGCCUUGUAUGGGAGAAGGUGUAGGACACCGCUAAAUUGGUCACAAGCUGGAGAAAGGGAAAUUUUUGGACCUGACCUGGUUCUUGAAGCCGAGGAGAAAGUCAGAGUCAUUAAGAGGAAUUUAGAAGCUGCUCAGGCCAGGCAAAAGAGCUAUCAUGACAAGAGGAGGAAGCCUCUACAGUUUGGAGUGGGAGAUCAUGUCUAUCUGAAGGUGUCACCCACCAAAGGUGUUCAAAGAUUUGGAAUCAAGGGCAAGUUAGCUCCUCGCUACAUUGGGCCCUAUGAGAUCAUAGAGAUUUGUGGACCCGUGGCAUAUCAAUUGAAGUUGCCACCCCAUAUGUCAGCAGUUCAUGAUGUGUUCCACGUAUCUCAGCUGCGAAAGUGUGUCCGCUUACCCACGGAAGUACUACUUGAAUCAGAAUUGGAGAUAGAACCAGAAUUAUCCUAUCAAGAGCACCCCGUCAAGGUAUUGGAUCAAAAGGAGAGAUCAACACGGGCAAGGUCGAUCAUAAUGUAUAAGGGUCAGUGGAGUCAUCACUCAGUGGAAGAAGCUACGUGGGAGACUGAGGGUUUUCUACGUUCUCGCUUCCCUGACUUUCUGCCCAAAGGAGUCGGUACGUACUCCAAAAACUCCACCCCCACCUGCCCUUUGAAUCUAAAUAUGAGAAAAACUUAGAUGUUAAAGGUAUAGUAAGCUUUGAAAAUAACUUUAAAAGGACUUCCUUUUGAAGUUGCAAAGAGAAUAACAUUCGAAGAGCAGUUAACUAGAGAAACUUGACUAAGGGAAAAAGGCAGCAUACCAGCACACCUUCUUGGUACCCCUAAAGGAUCCCUACUCGAAAUCUCGGGACGAGAUUCCUUUAAGGGGGGAGGGCUGUAACACCCCAGGUGUUACCAAGGCCAUGGUUUCAUUUAUGCACUGAUGACUUGUGAUCACAUGUGGUUAAGUGGAGGAGAAGAAGAACCUAAAACCUUGGAAGCAUGGGUUAGUUAAGAGGGGUUAAUGGCAAAGGCUUCACCAACACAAUUGGAACAAGGGUCAUGUGGAGCCAAGGUGAUUAAACCCUAAAGACACCUAAGGGCACUAGACUUCCAAGCAAGGGAUCAGUGGAUAAGUUAAUCAAAUUGCCAAAGCAUGAUCCUAGUCCUUAAACAAGUUUUAGUAACAUUGUAACCUACCAAAUGCAGGGAGGGAACAUUGCAAAAAAACCCCUUGAAGGCCCCAAUUUCACCCCUUAAGUGGAGAGCACACUAGAGCUCUCUAAUUCUCUCUAAGUCAAAAUCUAACCCUAAUCUAAAGAUCCACCGUGUUCACUUAGUAAUUGGCACCAAAACCACUUGGGUUAAAUACCAAAAAGGUGCCAAACCACCUAAGGCACCCACUGGAAAAGUUUGAAACUGAGCCCAAGUCGUUUGACAAGAUUUGGCAUGAUUUUUGUCGCGAGGUGGACAGAGGGACAAGCCAGAUUUGGCGUCCGCAAAUCUCCCUACCUAGGGCAUAUCUGCCAUUGGAACUCACAUACAAGAGACAGCCCUAGGUGCUAGGAGGAGGCCUGCGCCGGAUUUUUGCCAAGAUUCGCACGUUUGUGAUCUCGGCGAGCUGUUGAGCAAGGGCAGAAGAACACUUCCACGUGUUCGACACGCUCUGAACGCGCCAGAGCACGCCCAGCGCCCGACCCCACGCGCCCCGCGCCGCGCCAAGCCGCGCCCGUGUCUCCUGCCCGCGCCCACGCCUAUAAAGCCCACCGAAGCUUCAACCGUACUCCCCCGCGCGCUCUCGACCUCACCGGAGCCAGAGAUCACCAGCGUUUGCCCUGCUGACGGCGUGCCAGCGGCCGCCCGAUCCCCCGCCACCGUAGACCGGCCAGCAGAGCCAUCCCCAACACCGUCCAACCCUCGAAAUAGACUCUACGUGCCUCGGUGAAGCUCCCAGAGCGAGGAAUCGAGCUCUGCCUCACCGGAGACGCCGGAUCAAGGUCGCCGGACUUCACCCGACCGCCGGUGAACGUAGAUCAAGCUCCAUGGUGAGUUGUUCUUCAAUUCCUUGCACGGGUCGACUCUUUAGCACCCCAUGAAGCUUCCCGUGCCCUUGGAUUGACCUGUAUCGCCGUGGAUAGGCCGGAGCACGCGCCGCCGACAAGCUCGCUCGCCUGCGCACGUGGACCGACCGAUUCCGGCCAUCACCGUCGUCGAGUCGCACCUCGUUGUGACCGCAAGGACCUCCCAAAGCCAACCCCACCCUUCGCCGGACCUUCCUCGCCGCCGGUAAGCCGCACCACCCUUUUUCCUUUCGCGGGUACUCUUCAAAAGGGGGGAGGGACCUCGGGGAAGAAGAAAUAGAAGCCAGGGGGUUUUUGAACUGUCAGAGACUCAGGGGAAUAGUUGCGCAGGAGUAUAAAUUAAAGGAAUGGUUUAGAAAGAACCCAGGGACCUCGGUGCAAACUGGUUUUCUAGGAAACCUUUUUAAUAUUUCUAAUUUAAAUACAAACAGAGCUUGUAAAAUUCAUAACUUCAGUUUUUUUAACCAAAUUUGGUCAAACCAAUUUUGCCUGAUUCUAAAUAAUGUGAACUACUUAGGAAAAAUACAAAACCCCCUUAGUAUUGCAAAAGAAUUUAAAGUUUGGAUUUAAAUAUUGUUUUGGCCAAAAGUUAAAUAAUAGAAGGAAAAAUAGUUACACUGUUAGACUGAGGUUAAGAAAAAUCAGAGAAGUACUUAAUCACUCCCUGAUCUGUUCAAAAAUAGUAAACCCCUCAGUACACCAAAUUAAGGUAGGGUUUGCCAUUUAAAUCAUUUUUAGCUUAAAGAUAAAGAAAAUAGAAAAGGUAAUUUAAAAUAGAAACCAGGGAGCAACCACAUUUUUGUUAACUCACUUAUUUAAUGUAGUUCACUGGAAAAAUUUAUUAGACCUUUGUUUAGUACAAAGGAAAUGAGAUACCUUUUAUUUUAUGAAAACAAUGAAAACUUAGGAAAAUCUUAGAGAAAUAAUCAUGAGGAGAAAACACCCGAAACCUUGGGAUAACUAAUACUUUGUUAUUAUGAACAUAGGAAAAAUAUGAAAUUUGUUGUUUAAUAUUUUUCAAAUAACAAGUUAGUUAUAAGUACCUUUUUGGCAUAAAACUUUAGAAAUUCACAACUAAAUAUCCAUUAGGCCUUUUCUGUGAUUUUUAACACAGAGGCCUAAUAUCACCUAUGAAUCUGGACAAAAAUAAAAUUUGGUACAAAAAUCUCACUUAAAUCAUAGCUAUAGUGUAAAAUGCUGUUUAACACUUGUUUUUGUUAAUUUUGCACAAGUAGUAUCUGAAUUAGUAUCCACCUCAAAUUUUUAGGAGAACCCACAAAUAUUAAUAGUAACCCACUGUAAUUUUUAAAGAAAUUUUGGAAAUUUUAAAAUUACUGUUGUAGUUCAAACCCAACUUAAGAGCAUGAAAAGAGAAUAAAAGAAAGAAUUAAGUAGUGGAGAUACAUGUUACCCUGACCAAGACAGCAAAAAUCUUAAGUACCUACUAAAACCUUUAAGGGCAAUCCAAGCCUUAAUCCACUACAGUUGCCUCUAAGCAAGACCUCAAACCUAAAUUGAUAAACAUAAAUCACCAGAGUUUCUUAUAACCAGGAAAACCCUAAAUUAUCAAAUAACUUAGUUCUUCUUCACUACGCAAAAUGGUUAUUAAAUCCUGCAUAUCAUAGCAUACAUAUUUCUUACUCUUUGCAUUCGAUAGAUUGCAACCUCGCUGACAGAGAGUACAUCCUCGUGCUGGAGCAAGGAUUUGCUCAGGAGGUAGCCCCGGAUCCAGCACCAGAGCCUGCCGUCGAGGAUCUGCCUGCCCUAGCUUUGGAAGGCAAGCCCCGGUUUUAUGCAUAAUCGUUAUAUAUGCUAUUUUACUACACUUAAUGUUUGUAGGCUUGUAUUGUGCACUUAAGUGUAGGAGUUGACUGAAACCCUAGUUGCAUGAACUCAGGAUUCCUUUUGAGAUGGAUACUAGUAGGUUGAGUAGCUGCUUUACUAAUCAGGGAUCUCGGUAGAAGUCGAGUGAUUUUUCUAGCACUCGCGCGAGGUCAGGAAUUGGUUGUAUCCAUUUUUAUAUCAUAUUGAUGAUGGUCUAUGGAUAAUGAUCCAUGGGGAUGUGUUGUCUACGAGACGGAAAUUGGAAUAAGGAUUAAGGUGUGGUACCAUGUGUCAAGCGUUUGAGCGUUUGAACGUGGUCUCCCAUUCCGGUUGUGGUGGGUACAAGUGCGGUCACUGCAUGACGGCAGUCGGGGUCAGUGAGGCAUUGUACGCCAAGGCGGUGAGCCCCUUUCUGUUGCGAGGGAAUCGAUGGGGACGAUUGAUGUGUGUGGGGACGGAGUGCCUCGCCACGUCGUGUGUUUAGGUUUACCUUGCAAGGUUGAAACUCGAUUCGAAUCGUCUGCUUCUCGCAGCUAAUGAGACUGCUUGAUCCAUGCUGCUACAUUGAGUAACAAGUGGAAAUGUGAUGACUUGGCAAAAGUUGUUGAUUGCUAAAUGUUUCAUACCAUGUAUGAUUAGAUAAAUAUACAUUUAGUCUUAAGAGAGUCACACUAAAACUUGAAAAAGCUAAAACUUGAUUUUUAGACUUAGCUAGUGCUUUUUGCAAACCAAACCCUUCAGCCAAACAGCUGCAUGUCUAGAGGUAGAGGAGUAGACUCCUCACACCGGGUGAGUCUAGCUGAGUAUUAGUAUACUCAGCCUUGCUUGUGGCAUAAUUUUUUAUAGGUUCUCUGGAGGACAUGGUUGCUGGAGUGACUUGGCCGUCCAUCUUGCCACCGGGAUGGACAGUCGAGUGGGACCCUACCUCGGCUGAGGAGGAGCAUGAGGAGUGAUGGGACAGGCUUCCCCAUCCCUCCAUUUAUUUACCGUUAGUUUUAUUCCGCUGCAUUCCGAACAAUGAUCUCCACUUUUGCUAAAACUCCGAUGUUGAUGUAAUAAUUUGAUACUCCUUAAUGUAUGGUUUUAUGCUUUAUUGUAUUUGCUCUGUGCCUCACCUUCGAGUGAGUAUGUGGUACUUGAUCCUAUUAGUGGCCUCGUCGGACUAGAUCCAAGGGACUGACGUGUUAUUCCUAUUUAAGUGCGGUCUAGCCUCUAAGGCGGGACUUAGGCACUUAAGUUGGAAUAAUUCGGGCGGUUCCGCCACAGCGUUGUACUCAUAUUAAUGUUAGUCAUCAUUUAGUAUACUUAUUUUAUUAUGUCACAUGUUAUUAACAUCAAGAACUUCAUUUGUUUAGCUUAUGUUUUACAUGUAGACAUUCAUAAAAUCAUAUCUCUUUAACCGGAACUCUGAAUUUAGUGAUUCUCGAACCUACGAUCUCAUAGCAGAGCGUAGAAUAUUUCUACGUAGUUUGUUCUCAUCUUUGGUGUAAUGUUAGUUUAUGUACUCCUUGUCUAUUUGUAUGUAUUGCUACGAGUAGCAGCGAGGUCACAAGAAACCAGAAGACCAAUUUGGUGAAGUACCUGGAAUCUCAAGUCAUAGACAAGUUGUGCCCUUGAUCACUUUUAUUUACCUAAUAAUGUUUCUGUUAAUCACUAUGAAAUGCUCAUGUUAAUUGGAAGGGAACUAAUAGGUUUCCCUAGUUUGUUUACCUCACACCUUGCAAACAAAUGAACUAUUGGGUAGACUCGCUAUUGCUCUACCUGGAUUUGGAAUUAAUGUUAUAUUGAAUUAUGAUCAUGUUCCAUUACUAUUGUUGGUUUAAUUAUUGUUCAUGAUAAUAUUAUUAUGUUAAAUGGAACAUGGAGCGACCAUCCGGGAAAACAGUGCUACCACAAGGGUGGAAUGGGACGCCCUUGGCUGAAUAAUUAGGAAAGCUAUUGUGAGUUAAUCCUUUCCCGAAAGGGGCAAGCGGGGUGGAGUUGUGCAGGUGUAGGAGGUCCUCGAGUUGGACUGUCUUUUUAGCUUUUCGGACGAGGGAUUCCUACAUCACCUUCGGCCCGGAAUCCAUAGCGGGUUCUCUCCUCUAGUGGAACUUUGUAAAGGCCUCGCAGUGGAUCCCUAGCCAUUCACCAUGGAAGUGUCUAAGGGUCUAGCUAACCCUAGCUAAUCGGUAAACACGUCUAGUGGGUAAAGAUGUGCAACCUCUGCAAAGUGUAAAACUGGUAUAUCAGCAUGCUCACGGUCAUGAGCAGCUCGGACCCUCACAUGAGUAACUUAUGUAAUUAAUCUUAAUUUGCCAUUUGCAUCACAUUGUGGGGUUUAUUAUUAAUUUUGAUCUCUUAUUUUUUUGGGUUGUAUCUACUGAUACUUAGUAAGUGCUAAUAAAACUUUGACCAACUUUAAAAGCAAUGCUCAGCUUUAACCAUCUUCUUUGAUAAGCCUUACACUUCACAUGAGCCCCCACCGUAAGUGAGCUCAUGCACAUUAUUCCCCACAACAUGUUGAGCGAUGAACGUAUGUGAGCUCACCCUUGUUGUACUCACAUCCCCCAGGUCAAAGACAGGUACCACAAGAUAAGAAGCAUGGAGGAUCUCGUGAUGAGUUUGUGAGAGGUCUAGGUCGUCGUCUUCCAGUCAAGUAUGGUUGCGG